GGCGCGAGCUUCCUGCGCCUGCUCAGCAGCCUGAGGCCGCGGCCGGGUGCCCUCCUGCCCUCCUGGCCAUCCAGGGAUUGGGUGUCAGUGGCCUGUUGCACAUUGUCACUUCUACAAGUGACUAACACCGUCAGGAUAAUCUAAAACUACGAAUACUACCUGACUCCACAAGGGUACGGUGUAUUCUCCAGUUUUAGCAUCUGCCUUAAAAAUUACCUCAGAGUUAAGCACUGCUGGGGACUUAUUUCUACUCUUGAUCACCUUUCAACGUUUAUACUAGAAUGAUGCUUCUACUGGCAGAAAGUUUUUCAGCGGGUUCCCUUUCCCUUCAUGGAAAGCUAGCAUGAUGAAAUAGCCCUUUCUGAUUUGGUCCUUGCCUACCCCAACAGACUGGAGCCCUGCAUCUACAGGCCAUAAUCUCUGUACCAGCAUUAUUGACUACACACACUAUACAGUUGCCUCUCCAUAUCUGUGGGUGCCGCAUACACUGUGGAUUCAACCAACCUGGAGUAAAAGAUAUUCAAGAAAAAAACUGCAUUUGUACUGAACAUCUACAGACUACCCCCCCAUGAUUAUUCCCUAAAUAAUAUAGUACAGCCAACUAUUUAUUUAGCAGUUAUGUUGUGUUAUUAUAAGUAAUCUAGAAAUGAUUGGAGGUCUGUGGGAGGAUUUAGGAUAUUCUUUACCAGAAUAUUGCAUCAUCUUAUAUAAGGCACCUGAGCAUGGGUGGAUUUCGGUAUCCGCGGGGGCCCUGGAACCAGUCCCCUGUGAAGACUGAGGGACGACUGUACAUGCCAUGACAUGCUCUCUUCCCAUGCUCUCCCCUGCCUUUGCGUGUACUGCUGUCUCUGUCUGGAAUGUUUUCUCCUGUCCUUUCAUAGACACAGCAGGCUCCUGCUGUUCCUUCAUGUCUCAUUUACACAUGACCUCUUCGAAAGCUUCACUGAAUUCUGUGACCUAAGCAAUUUAUCUUUUAUGAUUCAAUUGCAUUUUUGAAAUAGUUUUAUUGCAGUAUAAUUUAUGUCAUAUAGUUCAGCUAUUUGAGAUAUUCAAUUCUGUGGUUUUUAGUAUGUUUGCAAAGUUGUGCAACAAUCACCAUAAUAUAACUUUAGAACAUUCUUGUAAUCUCUAAAAGAAACCUUAUACACAUUACCAGUAACUCUCCAUUUCCCCUCAUAGUCUUGGCAGCCCUUGGCAACAACUGACCUAUUUUCUACCUCUCUAUAUUUGCUUAUUGUGGACAUUUCUUUUUGUUCUUUCUUUGUUUCUUUUCUUUCUUUUUUUGAGAUGGGGUCUUGCUCUGUUGCCUAGGCUGGUGUACAGUGGCAUGAUCAUAGCUCACUGCAACCUUGGACUCCUGGCCUCAAGAAAUUCUCCCACCUCCCAAAGUGCUGGGAUUACAGGUGUGAACCACCAUGGCCAGCUUGGACAUUACAUGUAAAUAGAAUCAUGAUCUUUUGUGACUGACUUCUUUCACUGAAGAUAAUGUUUCCAAGGUUCAUCGAUGUUGUAACAUGUAUCAGUACUUCACUCCUUUUUAUGGCCAAAUAAUAUUCCAUUGUAUGGCUAUAGCACAUCUUAUUCAUCAGUUGAUGAACAUUUGUGUACAAGUUUUUGUUUGAACUCAAUUCCUUUGGGUAUAUACCUAGCAGUGGAAUUGCUGAUCAUAAGGCAACUUUAUGUUUGACGUUUUGAGGAACUCUCACACUAAUUUCCAAAGUGAAUGCACUAUUUCCCAUCCUAUUAGCAAUGUGUAGAGGUUCCAAUUUCUUCCCAUCCUUGCCAAUACUUUUAUUUUCUGUCUUUUAAUCUUAUCUGUCCUAGUGGGUGUGAAGUAAUAUCUCAUUGUGAUUUUGCUUUGCAUUUCCCUGAGCACUAAUGAUAUUGACUACUAGCCUUAUCAGGUGCUCAGAAGCCAUCUGUAUAUCUUUUUUUGUAGAAAUGUCUAUUCAAAUCCUUUAUCAUUUCUAAGUUGGAUUAAUUUUUUAAAGUUUAUUGAGUUGUAAGGGUUUAAAAAUAUCUAUUCUAUAUGUC
RNAcentral lists this long non-coding RNA (2034 nucleotides) under Homo sapiens (human). Its description in RNAcentral is "HSALNT0347659". Lineage: Eukaryota; Metazoa; Chordata; Mammalia; Primates; Hominidae. The record is from RNAcentral.